UGAGAUGUUGCUCGGUGGUAGAGCACUUGCCUUGCGUGUGAGGUCCUGGGUUUGAUCCCCAGCACAUCAC
RNAcentral lists this transfer RNA (70 nucleotides) under Heterocephalus glaber (naked mole-rat). It matches the Rfam family "tRNA". Rfam says of the family: Transfer RNA (tRNA) molecules are approximately 80 nucleotides in length. Their secondary structure includes four short double-helical elements and three loops (D, anti-codon, and T loops). Further hydrogen bonds mediate the characteristic L-shaped molecular structure. tRNAs have two regions of fundamental functional importance: the anti-codon, which is responsible for specific mRNA codon recognition, and the 3' end, to which the tRNAs corresponding amino acid is attached (by aminoacyl-tRNA synthetases). tRNAs cope with the degeneracy of the genetic code in two manners: having more than one tRNA (with a specific anti-codon) for a particular amino acid; and 'wobble' base-pairing, i.e. permitting non-standard base-pairing at the 3rd anti-codon position. The record is from Rfam by way of RNAcentral. Lineage: Eukaryota; Metazoa; Chordata; Mammalia; Rodentia; Bathyergidae.